This is a long non-coding RNA of Chrysemys picta bellii (western painted turtle), 1193 nucleotides long. RefSeq lists it as uncharacterized. Lineage: Eukaryota; Metazoa; Chordata; Testudines; Emydidae. The record is from RefSeq and is a predicted model, not a curated record.
GUCUGGGGAACUCCGCUCUUCUGACCUAGUCUGACCCUUUCCCCUACUCUAACCCGAGCAGCAUCUGGGAAUGGGCUCGCUGGCCAGCCCUUCAGGAAGGAUGGGAGAGCACCUCGGGAGUCUGUAGCCUGUGCUUCGGUGGCACCCCCACCCCAAGCACCUUCGUUCUAGAGAGGGGCACAAAAUUGUGGUUCAGUUCAUCCGCUAGCCCUACCAAGGGGUGGGGUGGUAAAGGAAGACAUUCUGGAACCUCCUCAUGCGCAUGAAAGCAUUUUCAACUUUCCUCUGAAGAAUCUGAUACCGGUCAGAAAUCAGUAGAAAAAAUGUGAAGCCGGACUUUUCACUGUGAAUAUGAAGGAGAAGACACUGAAGUAAAACUUCAUACAAAUGGUGGUCACUAGAUGCAGAGGAAAACAACAUAAGCGGUGACAGACAGCAUUACAUUACAUCUGAAAUCUCCUUGGGAUUGAGAGGCGGACAGUGCUGUGGAGAUUUGUCUGAGGACAGAAAUGAUAAUUCUGCAAGGAUUUAUACCUCAAACACUCCCAUUUCAUACCUACUGAAGUACCUAACCGAAGAGUAGUACUAAUGGUUCAUAUGCAGAUCCACCCAUGUCUAAAGGUUAAUUCUUAUCAGAUGUAUUUUCAGUCUCUAAUGCAAACUAAGAGGUGGGAAGAAAAAUACUGUAAUAAAAGCAAUUCAGACUGUUUCUGCUUUCAGGUGUCUAUGGAUCAAUAAAAGCAUGGAUUAUACUGAGUAUUCAGACAUUAACUCUAGGAUAACAGCAAGGUUUUUGUUUUCAUUUAACACAUGCAUGUACAUUACAUCUAUUUGCUAGUGACCUGCAACAGCUCCAGUGGCCCCUUGCUUUACUUGCUACUUAAUCUUUUUAAAAUAUUAUGCUUGGUAAAGGUUGUGUUGAUUAUAAAUAAUGUAGGUAAAGUGUCCAGAAUAAGUAGAUUGGGGAUUAUGAACCUGGUCUUGCUUUCAAUGAGAGUGUUAUCACUGACUUUAUUUUUUUUUUACAAGAUCAGACUCUAUAACUUCCUAAAAUGCUUAUUUUAAAAGGCACAAACUCUGUAGUAGUAUACACUGCACAUUAAAUUCAACUUAACCUUGUUAUGCUAUGGUUUGACUCUCAAUAGCCUUUAAAUCCUGUAACUAACAAAUAAAGUCUUGUAUGGCAAAUAAAA